This is a long non-coding RNA of Bufo bufo (common toad), 174 nucleotides long. RefSeq lists it as uncharacterized. The transcript is spliced from 3 exons. The record is from RefSeq and is a predicted model, not a curated record. NCBI's taxonomy places the organism in Eukaryota, Metazoa, Chordata, Amphibia, Anura, Bufonidae.
AGUGUCUUGGACUGAUUGUGGUGUCCUUAUUUCAGCUUCCAUCAUUGUGAUGCAAUCAUGAUCUUGUUCCUUGUAGAGAGAGUCGGUUGAGGUCCAUAGUUCUUCUUCCUGAAGAUCCUCUUCAGCAUGUAGAUCAAUAAAAUCUUCAGAAUCUCCACCUGCAGUACCCUCAGU